UGGAGUUACGAACAAUUGUGAGCUGCCUGUGGGUGCUGGGAAUUGAACCUGGGUCUUUUAGAAGACCAGACAGUGCUCUUAACUGCUGAGCCAUCUCUCCAGCCCUGUAAAUCCUAUUUUUAUAAUUGAGAUUUCACCUUUUUAAAAAUUUCAUUUCAUGCCAUUGAGUAAUAGUGAGAAAACUAAUCGUGAUUGGUAAAUUUAGGUCUCGGAAUCCUUUCUGCGCAUUCUAUAUGUAGUUUCUCAUAUGAACUGAGUUCUCUGGACGGUAAACUGAGGAAAGAGAUUGGGACUCUGUGUCAGUAGUUACUUCAGUCAGCAGCUAACAGAAUGAUACAUUCUAUUGGGUAAGUCAGGGCUGCAUCUCAGCUAUGGAGUACCUACCUGGUCUGCAUGAGUUCAAAACUGGUGUGGUGGGCAGAAUCUGUAGUUCCAGCCGUUGAGGUAGAGGAGCAGUUCAGGGUCAUUCUUGGCUAUGACACAGAAGUUCAAAGCCAGCUUGGGUUACACGAGACUGUCUCAAAAGAAAGGAAAUAAAGCAGUUGUUGGUGGGAACACAGAAAACUGAUGUGACUGUUUACUUCUCACUUUUCCUGUGUCUUCAGCUAAUAGACGGAACGGCCUGGUUCCUCAGAUCUGCUAAACAAUAUUGGUGGAAACAAGUCAACAGUUUUCUAAGAAAAAAAUCAUCUGUAUUGUGUGUUUAACAUUUAUAAUCACACACACGGGAAAAUGGCCCAGUGAAAUUGCUUGCCAAAAGCACUCAGACACUCAAUCCUGAUGGCCGUGUCCACCCUAUGGUGAUGAGGAAGCCAGGGGUGAGAAAUGGGAGCUUGUGGGCCAGAGAACAACCAGAGAGACCCUGCCUCAGCAAUGUGGAAGGAGGCGUGUAGACAGCCAGAGACUGUACCACCUGAUGGUGUCAGCAGUGUGGCUUGUUCAGCUUUGCUCGUGGGAGUAUAGUGCUGCAAGACCCUGUUACUCAACUUCUGUUACUCAAACCAACAGCCGAGGCAAUCUACUUGAAAUGAAAAGUGGUUGAUUUUGGCCCCUGGUCACCUGGCUCAUUUCUGGAUCCAAACAAUGGCAGAGUACAAUAAAGAGCCCAUGAAACCCAAACAGGGUAGAAAGCGUGAAAACACGGGAGUGAAUGCCCAUGAUAGGUGAGAUAGGUAAAGAGAAACUAGAAUUGAACCACCUCCAGGCCUGUAGUCCCCAGAUCAACCCUUUUGUCAGGAAACUGCUGUAAAUUACAAGUUUUGAGGUAGUAUAGAAGGAAAAAAAAAAAAAAAAAAUCAAUGAGCUGAAAUUUGAGUGGGUUCUGUAAGCUACUUGAGGACAUGUCCCAGCAUGAUUCCAGCCAAUGGACUUGGAGAUCAAGUCCUCCUUAGGUGAUUCCCUCCAGCCUUAAAAGGGGCACUAGGCCAGUGCUCGGGACGCCCCGAGGCUUGACAUCUUUGGAAGGGUGGUAGAGUAUUUGAGAAAGCCGUUUCCGUGUGCUUGUGGGUUGGACUGAGAACUGUGGCCGCUGCUUCAACUGUGCAGGGUGACCAGGCCCCACCGCUGCUUCAACCGUGCAGGGUGACCAGGCCCCAUGCAUGCAUGUUGACAGCUUGUUCUCGAACGGAGAGAAACUUGAGAUGAUAAGGCCACUAGUUUAAUUAACAUCCACAUUCGGAGAUGUCAGAUCUGCACACAGAAAAACCAGACUGUAAAGCGCAUAGACUGGGAACAGCUGAACUAGAGCCACUAGAACUAUAAACAAUAGUAAUAAUUAUAAACACUAAUGAUUCAAGAAUGCGCAGGGUUGAAAGCAAACUAAAAAUGUAACUUAGAAAUUUGCAUUUGGGCUUAAAAAUCAAUUGUAAAACAUAAACUAUAGGUAGCUUUUCAGUCAUUUAUUGGAAAUCAAAGCUUUUGGAGUUUUUAUGUCAUCCAUUUCAA
Molecule: long non-coding RNA, 1944 nt
Organism: Peromyscus californicus insignis
Lineage: Eukaryota; Metazoa; Chordata; Mammalia; Rodentia; Cricetidae
Exons: 2
Source: RefSeq, a predicted model, not a curated record